RNAcentral lists this unclassified non-coding RNA (207 nucleotides) under uncultured fungus. RNAcentral describes it as "sequence contains ITS1". The record is from RNAcentral. Lineage: Eukaryota; Fungi.
UUGAUUCAUUUGUUUGGUUACUCAGAGGGAGAUUCCGCCGGCGGCGAAGGCAAGAGUUUGGGUCCCCCGGCGGGCGCCUGGUUCCGGCGGCCCUCGCGGGCCUUCCGGGGCGUUAACCCGCCGAAGCAACAGUAAAGGUAUAAGUUCACAGGGGUUUGGGAGUAGAAUAACUCGGUAAUGAUCCCUCCGCUGGUUCACCAACGGAGA